Cyclopterus lumpus (lumpfish) is the source of this 1599-nucleotide long non-coding RNA. RefSeq lists it as uncharacterized. The record is from RefSeq and is a predicted model, not a curated record. The transcript is spliced from 5 exons. NCBI's taxonomy places the organism in Eukaryota, Metazoa, Chordata, Actinopteri, Perciformes, Cyclopteridae.
CAGAAUAAGCAAUUUAGAGCUGCAACGAUUGGUUGAUUAGUCAAACAUGUGUCGAUAUACUAGCUUCCUAAAUGAUAUUUUUCUCUGCUUUACCGGAUUUGAUAUAGUUUUAACAUAUUUGGAUGUUGGGCUCUGGGGAACUGUGAUUUUUUUCUGACAUGUUACUUAUCGAUUAAUCAAGAAAACAAUGGGUCAGCUGCUCAAUCUCAGUCAUCACUUCUGCGAUCUCAAACUUCAGCCGCUGCAGAGAAGAAAACAGCAAAUCGACUCUCCAGGCUUGAUGUGCAACAGAGCGGCUCUCUGCUGCGACUAGGACCGCUGGGCUGCUGGUCUUCACGUAACUACGGCAACGUCGUAAACACGAGGAGGGCAGAGGCCGUUCCCACCACAAGCUAAUUAGAGAGCACUUACACAACUUCACAGCACGAGCUUGUGGUUGCUGCAGGUGAAAAGAACUCAACAUAAAGUACACACCACAGCGCCUUUUCCCCGUGAUGACUGACAUGCCAUCGGCCGAGGUGUCUGUGUCCUUUUGAAGAUACACAGAGCCCCUCAACUCUAACAUCAGGCCUACAACCACCAAAAGGUCAUAAAGGCUUCUGGAUAUUCAUUACGAUGAUGACGGGAUCUUGGCCAGCAUUUCACAUCAGAUCAGCAGCGCUGAGGGUGCAGCGACAACGGCAGAGUGCACUUGUUGUAAAUGCAAUCCACUCACCAGCUACAACGUUUAUGAGGCUAGCAGCCCCCCCCCCCCUCAGUGUUUAGGUCCACUCUACUGAGUCACUAUUCAGAGGUUUCAUCUUCAUUCCUCAUUAUGGCAAACAUUUGCAUCCGUGAUUGUGCCCUUUAGGUAUCUUUAGAUGUAACGACCACUAAAACAUUGCAUCAAACUACAUGGGCAUGUACAUGCUGGAGUACAAUCAAAAUGAUAAUAAUUGCUCCAACCCUAUAACAUGUAUGUGUUUUCUGCUCCAACAACAAAUGAACACAUAUCUUAUCCAUUACAGUCACUAUCCUCUAAGAAGUUACUCCUUUACAUUAAGUAAAGUUGACCAUUUGUCUCAUGAUAAUAUGGAUUUCACACACAUAAGAAGUUAAGUGAAUUACGUCUUUCUUUCGUCCAUAAAUUAAAUCGAAUUUCAUGACCAACCCAACCAAGCAACAGCAUGUUUCAGUUAUCGCUUUUUUUCUUUCCGGACAAGCUAUCCAUCUUCCACUGAGGUCAGGUGACAUGCACUGCUCCACUGAUAUAAUUAAGAGAGGCUGUAAUGGCUGGGAAACAUCAAUAAGUGAGUCAUGCUACAAUGGAUUGCAGCAUGAACACAAACUACAGCUGAAGCUGAUGGGAAUGAGAUUUGUUUUUCAGUUAUUUGUGUCAAAACUUUGAACUGCUGGAGGCGCUAAAAGAAAAGUUAGAGAACCACGACAGCAACGAAGCUUCAUCGUCCGGGAACAACGGAGAACUCGACCACAUUUCACAGCAAUCUGUCCAAUAGUUAAUGACAUAAUUCAGUUUGGACCAAAGUGUUCAACACGCAGACAUUUAGCAUCGCUUAAAACUAAAAAGCAUCAUCUGCAGAAAUAAAGACAAGAAGGACU